Molecule: small nuclear RNA, 104 nt
Filed under: Dasypus novemcinctus (nine-banded armadillo)
Lineage: Eukaryota; Metazoa; Chordata; Mammalia; Cingulata; Dasypodidae
Source: RNAcentral
GUGCUUGCUUCGGCAGCACAUAUACUAAAAUUGGAGUACAGAGAUGAUUAGCAUGGCCCUUGAACAAGGAGAACAUGCAAAUUCAUGAAACAGUCCAUAUUUUC